This 477-nucleotide ribosomal RNA is filed under the name uncultured bacterium. Its description in RNAcentral is "partial 16S ribosomal RNA". It matches the Rfam family "Bacterial small subunit ribosomal RNA", at positions 28 to 506 of the family's 1533-position model. The record is from RNAcentral.
GAUGAACGCUGGCGGCGUGCUUAACACAUGCAAGUCGAACGGGAAUUAUUUUAUUGAUACUUCGGUCGAUUUUAUUUAAUUCUAGUGGCGGACGGGUGAGUAACGCGUGGGUAACCUGCCUUAUACAGGGGGGUAAAAGUCAGAAAUGGCUGCUAAUACCGCAUAAGCGCACAGAGCUGCAUGGCUCAGUGUGAAAAACUCCGGGGGUAUAAGAAGGCCCCGCGUUGGAUUAGCUGGUGGGGGGGGAAACGGCCCACCAGGGCGAGGAUCCAUCGCCGGCCUGAGAGGGGGAACGGCCAAAUUGGGACUGAGACACGGCCCAGACUCCUACGGGAGGCAGCAGGGGGGAAUAUUGCACAAUGGGGGAAACCCUGAUGCAGCGAGGCGGCGGGAAGGAAGAAGUAUCUCGGUAUGUAAACUUCUAUCAGCAGGAAAGAUAGUGACGGAACCUGACUAAGAAGCCCCGGCUAACUACGU